GUGGGGAAUAUUGGGCAAUGGGCGAAAGCCUGACCCAGCAACGCCGCGUGAAGGAAGAAGGUCUUCGGAUCGUAAACUUCUAUCCUUGGUGAAGAUAAUGACGGUACCCCGCGAAUAAGCCCCGGCUAACUACGUGCCAGCAGCCGCGGUAAUACGUAGGGGGCGAGCGUUGCUCGGAUUGACUGGGCGUAAAGCGCGCGUAGGCGGUCCAUUAAGUGUGUGGUGAAAUUCGGAGGCUCAACCUCCGUCCCGCCGCGCAAACUGAUGGUCUUGAGAUUGGGAGGGGGAUGCGGAAUUCCUGGUGUAGCGGUGAAAUGCGUAGAUAUCGGGAGGAACACCAGUGGCGAAGGCGGCUUCCUGGCACAAUACUGACGCUCAUGUGCGAAAGCUAGGGCAGCGAACGGGAUUAGAAACCCGAGUAGUCC
Molecule: ribosomal RNA, 425 nt
Filed under: uncultured bacterium
Lineage: Bacteria
Description: partial 16S ribosomal RNA
Rfam family: Bacterial small subunit ribosomal RNA
Source: RNAcentral